CCUACGGGUGGCAGCAGUGGGGAAUAUUGCACAAUGGGGGAAACCCUGAUGCAGCAACGCCGCGUGGGUGAAGGAGCGUUUUGGCGCGUAAAGCCCUGUCAGCGGGGAAGAAGAAAGACGGUACCCGACCACGAAGCCCCGGCUAACCCCGUGCUAGCAGCCGUGGCAAUACGUAGGGGGCGAGCGUUAUCCGGAAGUACUGGGUGUAAAGGGAGCGUAGCCGGCGAGGUAAGCCUGGAGUGGAAGCCCGGGGCCCAACCGCGGAACCGCUUAGGGAACUGUUAUGCUGGAGUAUGGGAGGGGUAAGCGGAAUGCCUGGUGUAGCAGUGAAAUGCGUAGAUAUCAGGAGGAACACCGGUGGCGAAGGCGGGUUACUGGACCAUAACUGACGUUGAGGCUCGAAGGCGUGGGGAGCGAACGGGAUUAGAUACCCUAGUAGUC
RNAcentral lists this ribosomal RNA (441 nucleotides) under uncultured bacterium. Its description in RNAcentral is "partial 16S ribosomal RNA". It matches the Rfam family "Bacterial small subunit ribosomal RNA", at positions 338 to 795 of the family's 1533-position model. The record is from RNAcentral.